Molecule: long non-coding RNA, 3100 nt
Organism: Numida meleagris (helmeted guineafowl)
Lineage: Eukaryota; Metazoa; Chordata; Aves; Galliformes; Numididae
Exons: 5
Source: RefSeq, a predicted model, not a curated record
CGCGCCGACCCCCAGAGCUGCCCCGGGCUCCAUCCCCGCCCGCGGCGCUGCCAUGCAGCCGAGCCCCACGCGGCGGAGGAAGGAAAACAGCUCAUCUCUUGACAUGAGUGCGACAGAGGAUUCCAGUUCUUCUUGGCACCUCCAUGGCCUUCAAGUUGCUGCAUUCCUGCUUAUCUACCAGUUCAGCACUGUCUAUUUCUGGCAGACUACUUUAUCCCUUGACACAGGUCCAAAGGUGAUGGCAUCCUCAAGGUGUAACCCAGUAGUGUUGUCUAAUGCAGCUAGGUGUAUGACCAACACAAGGUUCACCAUUUCACUUGAGAAGCGUGUUCAGGAAGAGAGGAAGAGGAGGAAGUGGUGUUGAGUUUGUUGUAACUCCAGAUCAAGCCCUGAUGGCAAUGGUUUAACCAAGCUUGAAAAUGGCAACCUGACCCCUGACUACAACAGUGGAAUCCUCCUCAGUAGGCAGUAGGUUGACACAGGAGAAAGCAAGGUCAUGAAGGUCUUAGCUGCAGCCCCACUACCAGCGUGCAAGGAAGCAAUGAAACUGUGGUGAUAGUGGAGGAUAUUCCCACAGCUGAGCCAUCAGGAUCACCACUGCCACCACAGACAGUUCAGAGAAGAAAAUGCAGACAAGCCAUUUGCUACUGACUCCACCAGUCUUCUCAUUCAGCGGAGUGGUCUGAUGAGAGGAGGGGCGCAAGUUCCAAGUAGAAGACCCAGCAUGUGGCUGCAGCCUCACCCAGCCCAGUUGUUGACCGUGGACAUUGUCUCCUCAGUCCGCAUGUGAAGACGGUGACAUCAACCCCUAGAGUGUGUCAUGGUGCUACUUGGCAGAGCCCAUAUCUGCAGCCACAUCUCAUGCCAUACUAUCUAGAAAUGCCAGGAUCUAUCACCAUCCUGCAUCUGUGGCCUCCAGAUUGUCAAUUAACUCCAUCAAAAAUAUACAUAUGGUAAUUAAAGGUAGGACAUUUGUCCACAGCCAAAGGUUCCUACUUGUCUCUCGAAGAGACAUAGAAAUACAGUUUUCUCAGUGGUGUUGAAGAAACAUUACCAGACUUGGGGAAGAAGGGGACUUCGGUUGUUGGAACAUCUUUGUCACUUUCAGUAUAUGGGGAAUUUUUAAAUCUUACUCCUCAUCUUUUAUUAUUAUGUCUUACUCUUCACCUUAUCUAUUAAAAAAAAAACAACAUAUUCAACAAUUAACUGGAAAGAAACAAACACACGCACACAAAAAAAAAAAACAACAAAAGCCAACAACCAAAAACCUAACACAGAAGAAGAGACACUAGUGACUGACAUGGAAGCCAUGGCGUUGGUCUGCCAAUCAGCUCUAUUCCUGAGCUUCCUCUUCUCCAAAGAGAACUCCAAAGGAGUUCCCUGAGCCUGCCAUUGUAUGCUAUGUGUCCCAGCCCUGAACGAUUCCCUUGUGGAAGAAGGAAGAGAGUCAAGGAGGCAGAGGACCCUUUUCCUAGGGAUGACUCCUACAUGCCAUUUUGCUUGCCAGAGAGAAAGGCUGCCCAUUGGGCACAGGGGCUGCCUUUCACCUCCCGUCCUGUGCCCUGUCCUCCAGCCCCCUUUUCAUUCCAUGCUAAACACCAUUCCCGCCAUCAUGGUGGCCAUCACAGAAGCUUCCUGGUGUCACAGUAGUCACCGCUGCCCCAUCCCACUCACUCAGCUCCAAGACCUCUGGUGUUGAACAAGUAUGGCUGGUACCAAGAGAACGAGGAGCGUUGAUUGCCCAGUUUUACAUGGGAAGAAAGAGAUUGGGUUCCCAGAACCAAAGAGGUGGUGGAGGCCCACGAAGAAGAGCAAAUGGAGGAGGAAGAGCGCCUGUGCCUUUAGAGCAAUGCCCAGGCCUAUGACUACUGUUUUGCAGCCCACUGAGGUGGAUGCACUCCAGAUGAAGAAUCAGUGGAAGUGGAUCGACCUCCACCACAGCUGGCUUGGCACAUCAUCAUGCCAGGGCGCCCAUUGGUGUGGUCACAGCAGCAUCAUUGAAGGUUCAGGUGCCCAGCUCCCUAUCCACUCUGCCACCCCUGCACCCAGAAUUAGCUGGGAAGCCAUUCAUUAACAUCCAGUAGGCUUGCGUGCAGGAUAGCCUCCUUUCCUAUCCCCCAUCCUUACCCCUCGUCAAAAGAUGACAUCUAUUCUGCAUGGAUUCCCAGGGAAGCAGGCAAACAUGGACUUGGCUUCAUUUUGACUGGUUCACUGUGUCUUCAGGAGGUCCCCCUCAGAGUGCUGCUGUGGAUCAUGGAUCCUAGAGGUGGGGUGUCUCAGCCUGAAGAUGAGAAUGCUACCCAACAGGUUCGGGAAGGUGAAGCCAGACGUUCCAUGGUGGUUCACAAAGAACAGCAGCAGAUCAAUGAAAAAAGUUAGAGCUGUUCCUUUGAAGCUAAUGAAAACAUUGUCCCCAAAAGGGUGCCCAAACAGGAGAUAUGUCCAAAGAGGCUUCAGAGUCUGUCCUUGGAGGCAUCUGAACCUAACAGAACAAGACUGGAUGUUCCCAGACAUCACUGUCUCCUUUGUGUGCCUCAGUGCCAUCUUCUGGUAGAUAUCUUAUAAAGGUAAGAGCUGCUCCUUGGAAAUCUGCCUGCAGGCUCCCAUUCUGGUGCAGCUAAUGAUUCUUAUAACCAGACUAGAAAGCUCUUCUCCAAACGAGCGAACAAGAAGCCACAAAUGUGGUGGCUGGUGUUCAUGUGACCAGUGGUGUGCACAUCAUGAAUGUGGAUCCAACAGAGAACAGCGCUAGGCCCAGGCAUGUCAGUUGCCCAGAGAAAGGCGUGUGGCUAAGGUGUGCCAGUCAUCCAGAGAGUUACAAGGGGCCCAGGUAAGUCUGUCCACCAGAGGACGAGGGGGAGUCUAUGGAGGUAGAGCCAUCACAAGAUGGAGAUCUGAUGGAAUUGGAUCCACCUGUGAGAUACACGACCACCCCCAGCAUGCACUGGCUCUCUGCCACAAAAUCCGGGCAAUAGAACUGCAGGAGCACAAGGCCAGCUUGCUGUCUUCAUCAGUCUCUGCUCCCCCCGUUAACUUGGACAUGACAGACAGCAUGGACAUCCUGAAGGCUCAUGCGUCAGAUCACUCAGCAAUAAACCAU